RNAcentral lists this ribosomal RNA (477 nucleotides) under Treponema sp. oral taxon 231. RNAcentral describes it as "bacterial SSU rRNA". It matches the Rfam family "Bacterial small subunit ribosomal RNA", at positions 29 to 488 of the family's 1533-position model. The record is from RNAcentral. Lineage: Bacteria; Pseudomonadati; Spirochaetota; Spirochaetia; Treponematales; Treponemataceae.
AACGAACGCUGGCGGCGCGUCUUAAGCAUGCAAGUCGAACGGCAAGAGAGGAGCUUGCUUCUCUCCUAGAGUGGCGGACUGGUGAGGAACACGUGGGUAAUCUACCCUUAAGAUGGGGAUAGCUGCUAGAAAUAGCAGGUAAUACCGAAUACACUCGGCAUAUCACAAGAGAUGUUGAGGAAAGGAAGCUACGGCUUCGCUUGAGGAUGAGCUUGCGUCCCAUUAGCUAGUUGGUGAGGUAAAGGCUCACCAAGGCGACGAUGGGUAUCCGGCCUGAGAGGGUGAACGGACACAUUGGGACUGAGAUACGGCCCAAACUCCUACGGGAGGCAGCAGCUAAGAAUAUUCCGCAAUGGACGGAAGUCUGACGGAGCGACGCCGCGUGGAUGAAGAAGGCUGAAAAGUUGUAAAAUCCUUUUGUUGAUGAAGAAUAAGGGUGAGAGGGAAUGCUCAUCUGAUGACGGUAAUCGACGAAUA